GCCGGGAUAGCUCAGUUGGGAGAGCAGCAGACUGAAGUGGUUGCUCCGGUUUCUGAAGGUCCCGUGUUCAAUCCACGGUCCUGGCA
Non-coding RNA from Daedalea quercina L-15889, 86 nucleotides. The record is from the annotation of a GenBank genome assembly. Lineage: Eukaryota; Fungi; Basidiomycota; Agaricomycetes; Polyporales; Fomitopsidaceae.